Molecule: ribosomal RNA, 825 nt
Filed under: Triticum aestivum (bread wheat)
Lineage: Eukaryota; Viridiplantae; Streptophyta; Magnoliopsida; Poales; Poaceae
Description: partial small subunit ribosomal RNA
Source: RNAcentral
AUGGACGACAAGGCGCCGAAGCCCAAAACAAAGGCUGCCGUGGCGGCGGCUGCCGCGCCAGCGCCGGCAAGGACGACGCCGGCACUGAAGAAGCCACCCCUCGCGCCCCCGCCUCAGAUGAUCCCGCUAAAACCGCCGCCAGCGCACCAUUACCGACAGCAGCGCGGCGGCGGGGCGCCGCGGAAGCGGCAUCGCAGCGGCAGCGGGUGCUCCGGCCGCCGCGUGUGCUGCCUCGCAACCGGGUUCCUCCUGCUCGCGCUCUGCCUCGCGGUCGCCGCGGCCUGCCUGGCGUACCUCUGCUACCACCCGCGGCCGCCGUCGUUCCACCUCCAGCCGGUCUCGACGACGCGGUUCCGCGUCGGCAACUCCUCCGCGGUGUCGGCCGUGGACGUCACGGCGGCCGUGAAGGUGGUGUCCUGGAACCCCAACGACAAGAUCGCCUUCGAGUACGGCGACGGCGAGGGCCGCGUCUAUCUAGCCGACAGUGACGGCGACAUCACGCUGGGGUGGGCGCCCGUGGGAGGCUUCGAGCACGGCGCCCGGAGGGUGGCGGUCGUCGGGUUCGUGGCGGCCGCGAAGGGGGUGGUGGUCGACGAGGCGGUGGCGGCGCGCGUGCGCGACGGGUACCGGCGGCGGCGGCUCGCGUUCAAGGUGGUCGUGGACACCCACAUGGGCGUCCGGGUCGGGGCCGUGCGCACCGGCAUGGUGCCCGUGAGGCUGUCCUGCGACGACGGCGUCAUGGCGCCGCGCGGCGUCUCCGCCGGGAGCCCAAUGAGCAGGUGCCAGGUGUACCUCCUCAGAAUGACAUGGUUUGGCUUGAACUGA